UUUUAAAUAAGUAAGAGCCUUUGGUGAAUGCCUUGGGUCUGGAAGUCGAUGAAGGACGUGAUUACCUGCGAUAAGCCUCGUGGAGCUGGAUAUACGCUUUGAUACGGGGAUUUCCGAAUGGGGAAACCUAACUAGAUUAAUCUCUAGUUGCCACUUUACUGAAUACAUAGGUAUUGUGGAGAGACACCUUGUGAACUGAAACAUCUUAGUAGCAAGAGGAAAAGAAAAUAAAUAAUGAUUCCGUCAGUAGCGGCGAGCGAAAUCGGAAAAGCCCAAACCAUCAUUUUGAUGGGGUUGUAGGACAAUCUUUUAGAGUUACAAAAUUUUAAGAUAGAAGAAGUAGUUGAUAAGCUACGCCAUAGAGGGUUACAGUCCCGUAUUUGAAAUCUUAAAAUCUCUUGAUUGCAUCCUGAGUAGGGCGGGGCACGUGAAACCCUGUCUGAAUCCGCCGGGACCACCCGGUAAGGCUAAAUACUAACCAGACACCGAUAGUGAACUAGUACCGUGAGGGAAAGGUGAAAAGAACCCCGGAAGGGGAGUGAAAUAGAUUCUGAAACCAAUGGCUUACAAGUAGUCAGAGCCCGUUAAUGGGUGAUGGCGUACAUCUUGCAGUAUGGACCGGCGAGUUAAUUUAUCAUGCAAGGCUAAGUGGAAAAAAGCGGAGCCGAAGAGAAAUCGAGUCUUAAUAGGGCGACAUAGUAUGAUGGAUUAGACCCGAAACGGGGUGAUCUACACAUGAGCAGGGGGAAGCAAUGGUAAAGCAUUGUGGACGCCCGAACCAGAGUACGCUGAAAAGUGCUUGGAUGACUUGUGUGUAGCGGUGAAAUUCCAAUCGAACUCCGAGAUAGCUGGUUCUCCCCGAAAUAGCUUUAGGGCUAGCGUUGUGUGUUAAAUAUUGGGGGUAGAGCACUGAAUGUGGAAUGGCUUCAUCUCGAGGUACUGACUACAAUCAAACUCCGAAUACCAAUAUGUAUUGCACAGCAGUCGGACUAUGGGAGAUAAGUUCCAUGGUCGCGAGGGAAACAACCCAGAUCGUCAGCUAAGGUCCCAAAUUUAUACUAAGUGAGAAAGGUUGUGGGAUUUCAUAAACAGCUAGUAUGUUGGCUUAGAAGCAGCCAUCAUUUAAAGAGUGCGUAACAGCUCACUAGUCAAGAGAUCCUGCGCCGAAAAUGUAACGGGACUAAGUAUAAAACCGAAGCUACGGGUACGUAAGUACGUUAGGGGAGCGUUCUAAUCAGCGGUGAAGCUGUACCGUAAGGAGCAGUGGAGCGUUUAGAAGUGAGAAUGCCGGUAUGAGUAACGAUUCAAAGUGAGAAUCUUUGACGCCUAUUGGGGAAGGUUUCCUGGGCAAGGUUCGUCCACCCAGGGUUAGUCGGGACCUAAGGCGAGGCCGAAAGGCGUAGUCGAUGGACAACAGGUUGAUAUUCCUGUACUUCCUAAUCAGUGAUGGAGUGACGGAGAAGGAUAAUACUACCACUUAUUGGAUUGUGGGGUAAGCAUUUAGUGGGACUUGUAGGUAAAUCCGCAAGUUUUUAACCGUGAGAUGUGAUGCAUAGCGAACGCUUCGGCUUGUAGCGAAUUGUAUGAUUCCAUGCUUCCUAGAAAAGCUUCUAGCAUUAAUGUGACUGGAACCCGUACCGAGAACGGACACACGUCCCCAAGAUGAGUAUUCUAAGGCGAGCGAGAUAACUAUUGCUAAGGAACUCUGCAAAAUGACCCCGUAAGUUCGCGAGAAGGGGCGCUCUCUAUUUUAGAGAGCCGCAGGAAAUGUGAGGGGCGACUGUUUACCAAAAACAUAACUCUCUGCUAAAUCGUAAGAUGAUGUAUAGGGGGUGACGCCUGCCCAGUGCCUGAAGGUUAAGUUGAUGCGUUAGCUUUAUGCGAAGCGUUGAUAUGAAGCCCAGGUGAACGGCGGCCGUAACUAUAACGGUCCUAAGGUAGCGAAAUUCCUCGUCACUUAAUUGGUGACCUGCACGAAAGGCGUAACGAUCUCUCAGCUGUCUCAGCAAUAGACUCGGUGAAAUUAUGGUCCCGGUGAGAACGCCGGGUACCCGCAGCAAGACGAAAAGACCCCGUGGAGCUUUACUAUAGCUUCGUAUUGGGUUUUGAUUAAACAUGUGUAGGAUAGGUGGGAGACUUUGAACCUAAGACGCCAGUCUUAGGGGAGUCAUCCUUGAAAUACCACCCUUGUUUAAUUGAAAUUCUAACCAUCUCCCAUGAAUCUGGGAGUGGGACAGUGCGUGGUAGGUAGUUUGACUGGGGCGGUCGCCUCCUAAAAAGUAGCGGAGGCGCUCAAAGGUCCACUCAGCAUGGUCAGAAACCAUGUGUAGAGCGCAAUGGUAAAAGUGGGCUUGACUGUGAGACUUACAAGUCGAACAGGUACGAAAGUAGGACAUAGUGAUCCGGCGAUUCCGUGUGGAAGGGUCGUCGCUCAACGGAUAAAAGCUACCCCGGGGAUAACAGGCUUAUCUCCCCCAAGAGAUCACAUCGACGGGGAGGUUUGGCACCUCGAUGUCGGCUCAUCGCAUCCUGGAGGUGAAGUUGCUUCCAAGGGUUGGGCUGUUCGCCCAUUAAAGCGGUACGCGAGCUGGGUUCAGAACGUCGUGAGACAGUUCGGUCCCUAUCUGCUGUGGGCGUUGGAAUAUUGAUGAGAGUUGCUCCUAGUACGAGAGGACCGGAGUGAACGUACCACUGGUGCUCCAGUUGUCCUGCCAAGGGCAUAGCUGGGUAGCUAAGUACGGAAAGGAUAACCGCUGAAGGCAUCUAAGCGGGAAGCCUCCUCAGAGAUGAGUAUUCCCCUGAAAUUCCUUGUAGACUACGAGGUUGAUAGGCUGGAAGUAUAAGCAUGGCGACAUGUUAAGCUGACCAGUACUAAUAAUUGAAAGGUUUAAAACG
Molecule: ribosomal RNA, 2895 nt
Filed under: Mollicutes bacterium PWAP
Lineage: Bacteria; Bacillati; Mycoplasmatota; Mollicutes
Description: 23S ribosomal RNA
Rfam family: Bacterial large subunit ribosomal RNA
Source: RNAcentral